RNAcentral lists this transfer RNA (85 nucleotides) under Felis catus (domestic cat). It matches the Rfam family "tRNA". From Rfam's summary of the family: Transfer RNA (tRNA) molecules are approximately 80 nucleotides in length. Lineage: Eukaryota; Metazoa; Chordata; Mammalia; Carnivora; Felidae. The record is from Rfam by way of RNAcentral.
GCCUGGGUGACUCAGUUGGUUAAGCAUCUGACUUCAGCUCAGGUCAUGAUCUCAUGGUUUGUGGGUUCAAGCCCCGCAUCAGGCU